Molecule: ribosomal RNA, 309 nt
Filed under: Triticum aestivum (bread wheat)
Lineage: Eukaryota; Viridiplantae; Streptophyta; Magnoliopsida; Poales; Poaceae
Description: partial small subunit ribosomal RNA
Source: RNAcentral
AUGCCCAAGCCUAACAACAGCAACAAUGCGUUGGGAGAUGGCGUUUACCUGUGCGGCAGCGAGGAUGAUAGUGAUGACACCUAUAGAAUUGUUUUCUGUGUUGCUACAUUAUCAGUCCAAAAAGGUCCCACACAGCCUCUCAAGACCUUGUCAUUGUCUCUGAACCUGGUGGUCUUCGUGGCCCUGCUUGAACCUUCAUGGCUCAGGCCGUUCAUUACCUCCACCCCGAGGUCGUUCGACGAUGCAGCGCUCAAGCCGUUCACCCUUACCACCACAAGCCGUUCACCUCCGCCACACGAGGCAGUGCGA